RNAcentral lists this ribosomal RNA (253 nucleotides) under uncultured bacterium. Its description in RNAcentral is "partial 16S ribosomal RNA". It matches the Rfam family "Bacterial small subunit ribosomal RNA", at positions 524 to 776 of the family's 1533-position model. The record is from RNAcentral.
AACGUAGGUACCGAGCGUUAUCCGGAUUCACUGGGCGUAAAGCGCGUGCAGGUGGUUUGGUAAGUCGGGCAUGAAAACUCUUGGCUCAACUGAGAGAAGCUGUUCGAUACUGCCGGACUGGAGGGUGUGAGAGGGAGGUGGAAUUCCGCGUGUAGUGGUGAAAUGCGUAGAUAUGCGGAGGAACACCAGUGGCGAAGGCGGCCUCCUGGCACACUCCUGACACUCAGACGCGAAAGCUAGGGGAGCGAACGGG